This is a long non-coding RNA of Astyanax mexicanus (Mexican tetra), 1475 nucleotides long. RefSeq lists it as uncharacterized. NCBI's taxonomy places the organism in Eukaryota, Metazoa, Chordata, Actinopteri, Characiformes, Acestrorhamphidae. The transcript has 6 exons. The record is from RefSeq and is a predicted model, not a curated record.
ACACACCACAUGCAGCCCGAGGACAUUCACUCCUUCACUCUCUCACUUCUCCAGCAUGCUCACGCUGCUCUCUCUCUGUGUGAUUAGCACUCUACUGCUGCCGUACUGCAGGGUGAACGCUAAUGGGGAGAAGGUGCAAACAGCCAUGACUCUUAUUUCCAGGCACUGCCAAGCCUUGAUGUGUUCUGCUGUUGACAAGUAUAGCUGCAGAUCCCGGAGGUUCCACAACUCCCUCAUACGAUGAAGUGACAACUGAUUAUACAGACUACACCUUUGAUUACAGCGUGACAGAAUUUACAACAAUGGAUUAUGAUGGCUUUGAACUUCUCAAUGAGGAUAACAAUAAAAAAGUUGAGUCAGUAAAUAAUGAGGCCUCAACAGUAAAACAUGGGUUCUAUGCUAUACCACUGGCAGUGAUGGUCCAACAAUUCUGCCAACAAACAUGAAAAGGACUGCACAGACAAGCUGUUCAAAGGGUUUAAAGCCACAGCAAGAUGCCAUUCCAGAUGUCCAAGCCAAUGUACCCCAGUACCCCUGAGGACACACCAUUUCCCACUGCCAGCUGUUUUAUGUUACCAUCUGAAUUCUCUAAAUAUGUUAUUCAGUGCACUGAAGGUUUGUUCCCAGGUUUAGAAAUGUUAGAACCUUAAAAACACUAAGAUUAUGUUUCGUGGCAGAAUUUUCACCUACAUUUAGUGUUUAUUCAUUGCAGACAUAAUUUGAAUCUGGCUGUUUUUCUUCGCAUUGCACAUUGCAUAAUGAAUGGCCCAAAAUAAAUGUUUAAAAAUGACUAAGAAUAUAAUAUAUGGCAAUAUAAAUACAACCUCCAGUGAAAGAUAAAAUGAAAUUUUUAUUUUAGAUUGAAAAAAGUUGAUUUUAAGAUAUAAAUGCAUAUUUUGAGUUUUCAACAUGAUGCACAAUAAAAACAAAUACAUUUAUAGUAAAUCUUUACUAAAUAUACUGAAUCCUGUUAAAUUGAAUGUUUUAAUACUUUUGUGAUCUGUUUUGUAAUUUUUGCUUUAUACAUUGCUUCUUCGUCAUACAUUUUGCUAUAAUAUCAUUUGAUGUGAAAACAUGCAACAGUUUACAGUUUUAUAAACAGUUUUACACCAAUUCUUACAUGUAUUUCAGUUAAUCAUGAAAUGAUAGAAUGGGAAGAAAUAAAAGAUUUAAAUGUUUUCAAAUAGCUGCAUUUUUUGUACUAUAUACUCUAGUGAAGAUUCAUUUACUAUUUUACUGUUAGCAGAACUGGUCAUACAUGGAAGGUGAUUAAAAUCCUAGCAGAGACACCAAAAAAUAAAUGUACAAUACUAACACUGAUCGUAGGUUAGGGGUGGAGUAACUAGCCUAAUAUGCAAAUAAAUGAUGCCAGGAGCCAAUCAAAAAUAUGUAUUUAUUGUGUGAUAUACUAAAACAUGUUAGGGUAAACCUGAACUUCACUUUUGAAAAAUAAAAAAAAGAGAAUAUUGUUUUAA